CAGCAUGCAGAGGAAGGAGCAGGAGAUAAGGCCUCCUGCUGUGCCUGGGCAGCAAUUUGUGAACAAGGAGAGCAGAAAGCAGCACUGCGGGCAGGUACAGUUGCCAGCAGCAGUGCCAGCUCUUCCCCCAUGAAUACCAAUGCAUCAGCCCAGCACGGGGCGUUUCAGCUCAGCAGCGCUGUGUGUGUCCCCAGGCGGUGGCAGCUGGUACCAAAGGUGGUGGCCCCAGGCUGGCAGCGGGAAAAGCCUAUUCUAACUUUGGAAGCAAAGACUGGUGCCUGUAUCUCAAACGCUUCAGCAGACGUUAACCCAGCUCUCCCAGUGUGGAGCAGGAAGCGGGGAGCCUGCGUUCUCAGCCAGAGCGGGCUCAGGUUUGGGCAGCCUGGGCAGCGAGGCCUGACCACCAUGGAAAAACAUUGGGCUUCUAAACACACAGAGUCUGGGCAAUGUUAUUUGUUUGAAAAGAGAAUAAAUAAAAAAAAAUAAUUCCAUCCAUUCCUCUGGCAAAGACAGCUGGGCAUUUGGAGUGGCGGUGUUUGAAAUGCAAAAUGUACCUCAUUGGAGAGUUGUUUCAUGCCAUUCAUCUUCAGAGCGCGCUCUCGCUGCUUGUUUGCGGUGUGCGGCUAUAAACCAUGCUUUGUGCAAGCGCUCCGGCUGGCUCGGAGGUAAGGAAGAGCAAAGGAUGCUAAUAUCAGACGUUUCAAUCCCCACUGCAACCUACAUUGCUCAAAGCAAGAUGACUUGCAAACAUCUAACACAAAUGAGGAAGAUGAAUCGUAUUCAAGGUCAGGCUCUAUGCCAGGAAACCGAUAGAGGCAAAAGCGGUUAAUUGCUUUAGAUUCCAACAGCCCCCAAACGUGCCCUGCGUACAGACAUCCCUGCCUUGCGCUGCCGUGGACCUCGCCACCCAAACCGGCAAAUAAAAUAGGA
Molecule: long non-coding RNA, 930 nt
Organism: Numida meleagris (helmeted guineafowl)
Lineage: Eukaryota; Metazoa; Chordata; Aves; Galliformes; Numididae
Exons: 3
Source: RefSeq, a predicted model, not a curated record